This 440-nucleotide ribosomal RNA is filed under the name uncultured bacterium. RNAcentral describes it as "partial 16S ribosomal RNA". It matches the Rfam family "Bacterial small subunit ribosomal RNA", at positions 338 to 795 of the family's 1533-position model. The record is from RNAcentral.
CCUACGGGGGGCAGCAGUGGGGGAUAUUGCACAAUGGGGGAAACCCUGAUGCAGCGACGCCGCGUGUGGGAAGACGGUCCUCUGGAUUGUAAACCACUGUCCCCAGGGACGAAGAUGACGGUAGCGGGGGAGGAAGCGCCGGCUAACUACGUGCCAGCAGCCGCGGUAAUACGUCGGGAGCGAGCGUUGUCCGGAAUUACUGGGUGUAACGGGAGCGGAGGCGGGACUGCAAGUUGGGUGUCAAAUCUACCGGCUCAACCGGUAGCCGCACUCCAAACUGCAGUUCUUGAGUGCAGUAGAGGCAGGCGGACUUCCUUGUGUAGCGGUUAAAUGCGUAGAUAUUAGGAGGAACACCAGUGGCGAAGGCGGCCUGCUGGGCUUUUACUGACGCUGAGGCUCGAAAGUGUGGGGAGCAAACAGGAUUAGAUACCCCUGUAGUC